Non-coding RNA from Pteropus alecto (black flying fox), 119 nucleotides. Lineage: Eukaryota; Metazoa; Chordata; Mammalia; Chiroptera; Pteropodidae. The record is from Rfam.
CUCUACGGCCAUGCCACCCUGAACAUGCCGGAUCCCGUCUGAUCUUGGAAGCUAAGCAGGGUCGGGCCUGGUUAGUACUUGGAUGGGAAACUACCUAAGAAGACCAGGUGCUGUAGGCG